This 253-nucleotide ribosomal RNA is filed under the name uncultured bacterium. RNAcentral describes it as "partial 16S ribosomal RNA". It matches the Rfam family "Bacterial small subunit ribosomal RNA", at positions 524 to 776 of the family's 1533-position model. The record is from RNAcentral.
GACAGAGGGGGCAAGCGUUGCUCGGAAUCAUUGGGCGUAAAGGGUGCGUAGGCGGCGCGGUAAGUCGGGUGUGAAAUCUUGGAGCUUAACUCCGAAACUGCAUUCGAUACUGCCGUGCUUGAGGACUGGAGAGGAGACUGGAAUUUACGGUGUAGCGGUGAAAUGCGUAGAUAUCGUAAGGAAGGCCAGUGGCGAAGGCGGGUCUCUGGACAGUUCCUGACGCUGAGGCACGAAGGCCAGGGGAGCAAACGGG